GAUGAAAGCUGGCGGCGUGCCUAACACAUGCAAGUCGAGCGGCAGCGAGUUUUACACUGAAUUCUGGAAGCUUCUGAGUAGUACAGAAGAUUUAUUCAAGAGUUUUGUGUAAAAUGUCGGCGAGCGGCGGACGGCUGAGUAACGCGUAGGAAUUUGCCCCAAAGUGAGGAAUAACUGCCCGAAAGGGUAGCUAAUGCCGCAUAUGGUCUUCGGAUUAAAGCCUUCGGGCGCUUUGGGAGAAGCCUGCGUUGGAUUAGGUAGUUGGUAGGGUAAUGGCCUACCAAGCCGACGAUCCAUAGCUGGUCUGAGAGGAUGAUCAGCCAGACUGGAACUGAGACACGGUCCAGACUCCUACGGGAGGCAGCAGUGAGGAAUCUUCCACAAUGGGCGAAAGCCUGAUGGAGCAACGCCGCGUGAAGGAUGAAGGCCUUCGGGUUGUAAACUUCUUUUAUGAGUGAAGAAUAUGACGGUAACUCAUGAAUAAGCACCGGCUAACUACGUG
Molecule: ribosomal RNA, 502 nt
Filed under: uncultured bacterium
Lineage: Bacteria
Description: partial 16S ribosomal RNA
Rfam family: Bacterial small subunit ribosomal RNA
Source: RNAcentral